Molecule: long non-coding RNA, 11495 nt
Filed under: Vitis vinifera (wine grape)
Lineage: Eukaryota; Viridiplantae; Streptophyta; Magnoliopsida; Vitales; Vitaceae
Description: long non-coding RNA (VVIN_LNC001526)
Source: RNAcentral
GAAAGUUCCCUGUUUUUAGGUCAGGAAAAUGUGAAAAUGACACAGGUAACACAUUUGGUGAAAAUGCAAUAGGGAACAGAUUUAGUGAACAUGACAAAAGGGAACACAUAACAUUGUGUUAUCUUCUCUGAAAGCUGCCAAAUUUAUAUUGGGACACAAAAUUAGUUUCCCACCUUUUAUUUUAUAAAGACAAUAUUUUCUUUUCUUUCUUGUUCCUUGCUGGCAAUUGAACUUGGAACCUCCUAUCUCCUCACCUUAACACUUUGCUACUUGAGCUAGGUAUCGAGGAAAUAAUUUCCCACUUUUUCAUUUUUAAUUUCUAAAAAUGGAAAAGAAAGUAAAAAUAGCAUUCUCAAAAGUUAUCACUUUGUUUAUUUUGUGAGUUUUAUCUCACUGUAAGAGAAUUCUAUAGAAGCACAUAAAUGGGUGCAAAUCCAGUAUGUGCUAGGUGUACAAGGGAACUCUAAGUUUGUGGCAGGAGCAGAGUAGAAGUACUUUUGAAGACCUGAAGUUUUGGCGAGGAGGCCUAGGUAGCAAAGGCCUGGAGCAAGAAUGAGGAGGUUCAAGGUUCGAUUGUAAACACAAAAAAAGGGGUUUAGGGUUUAGGGGGUGCUUAUUAGAAACAAAUAGAAUUUCAUGUAGAUGAUGAUGCAUAGUGUGAAUCUCAAUGCUACUCACUGAGCACCAAUAGUUAUCUCCCACUCAAUUCAUCAAUAAAAUGAAAAAUAUGAACUUUUAAGGUCCAAGCUAGAAGUUGAUAUUCAAGCAGAAACAGGGCAUUAAAUCAUUCAGUUGAUCCCCUUUAUGUGUUUUUACUGCAAUUGUAAGUUCCCAAUGAGCAAAUGGGAUUAAAAUAUUGUAACACAUAAGAUCAAUGAACCUUAGCGGAUAGAAAUAGCAAAUGGAAGCAACAGAUCCUCUAUUACUUUCUUGUUCUUCAUUAUCACAAUUCUUUGCUGUUGUUAUUAAUGUUAUAAUGGGGAAUCUCAAAUAUAUUUUUGUAAAUGGUUGUUUAUGUGUUGACACUGCAAAUGACAGUUGACAAAGUCAGGUUUGAAUCAUUGAAAUUAAGGGGUUGUUGUGGUUGGGGAUCAUGCGUUUUAUUGGUAUGCGGACUAAGUGGAUGUUUAUGGGCUGGAAGAGUCAUUAAGGAGUUUAAACUGACAAAGAACUAAGUAGAUCUGGUCAUUGGAUUUAAUGGUUCUCUACUUUAAUCCUCAUUUGUUUUAAACUUACUAACUUAAAUAUGCUUGUAUAUGCUACCUAGUAAGGAGGAGAGGAGAUUAUGGGAAAGAUGGAUGUAAACAACAUUGUCAAAUGUCUUAAAUUAUAGAAAGAGAGUGUGAGUAUUUGACAAGUUAAAAGACUGAUGAGGAUGAAUAUCAAAGUUCUAACUGAGAAAGGAAUAUAAGAAGAAAGAAAUCCUAAAUUACUCUAUCAAGGGUAAUUAAGUAACUUUGUUAUUUCUUGGGUGUCAUAAUUAAUUAAUAUUUGGUAUUUGAAUUUUAUUUAGAAUUUAGAAAGUUUUAGUUAAAAGAAAUCUUAACAUUUUCUAUUUUCUAAAUUAAUCUCUUUUUAAAAGGUAUCUAUUUUGAGCCUUUAGAAUCUAGAAGUAUUUUUUAGUAUAACUUUAUUAUAAGAAGUUUCUACACCUAACUCUAAAGAGAAAGUUCUGAUUUUUUAUUUUUUAUUUUAGAAGAUUUAAUAGUCUUAGGAAAGGGAUAAAAGUCCUAAUAAGUUACUACACGGAUAAGGUUAACUUUUUCAUAGUUUUAUUCAAAUUCUAGUUUCUACUACCUAUAAUUGAUGUAAAAUGGGAUUAAGGAUUGAUAGUGAAACAAUAUUAAGUUUUGCAUAUUUUGAAAUUGAGAUGCCAUUGGUUUUCUUCUUGGUGAGAUUCCUAGACGACCUUAAUGAGACUCUAAAGUUUCUAUCUUUUAUUUAUUUUUAUUUUUUUGUUUUUUAUCUUUGUUUUCCUAUAGUUUAUUUUACUUUUCUCUAGUGGCAUAAUUUUUAUUUGUUCAUUUCCUUAAAUCCCAGGCCCACUUAUUUGAUCGUAGACAACUAUCUUAGGGUUGUUCUACAUUAGUGAGAUCCUUGGCUUGAAGGUGCAUGCAACUAAGGAGUAUAACAAUUACCCAAACAUGAGCUCUGAGAAUCUUAAUGAUCAAGAUUCUACUUCAAUAUGUUUGGAGGAAAUUUCUAAUACAUAACAAUCCCAACAAGGGACAUCCUUGAAACUCAACAACUUGGUGGAUGAUAGAGUAAGACUAAUGGAAAGAAGUUUUUUCUUUUGAUAAGAAGAGACUAUUGAAAAUAAGUUAAGAAAAACAAUCCAUCGAAGGAGGGGGUGGGAACCAUCACUAUGAUCAAUCACCUAAUAAAGUAUGUGAAUUGCAAAGUAAUUUUAUGAUGGGUAAUCCACCUAGGGGUGCAAUAGGUGACAUGCAUCAUAAUAUGAAUAUUGAGAGAUGCACAAACUUUAAGCAAGAUCACGACGUGACAAGAAAGAUACGAAUUAAAGUUGUUGGAUUUUUGGGAAAAUUGAAUCUUACAACUUCUUCUUGAUUGACUUAUGCCCAUGGAAGACUACUUUGAUUAAUAUACUAUGCUUAAGACUAUUAAAGUUUGUUUUCUGAAGGCAUAGUGUGUUUAUGGUGGCGUAAUAUUGAAGAUCAACUCUGUAGAACCAACCAGCUACCUAUGAGCACAUGGAAUGAGAUUAAAUUAGAUAUGAAAGAAUGCUUUCUCCCAACUGAUAAUGAACAACUCUUCUACGCUAAGAUGUUUAAAAUCAAGUAAGGUAAUAAAUUCUUUGAAAAAUAUACAAAAAAAUUUCAUGAGUUUGAGUAUUCAAAAUAAAGUGAAGGAAGGUAAGGCUCAAAUUGUUGCUUGCUAUAAAGUUGGACUUCUAAUGAAGAUCCGACUUGAGAUGGCUGCACAAACUUACACCAUAGAUAAUGCUUAUCAACUAGCCCUUUAAAUUGAAUAAACACUAUAUUUUUGGGUUUUUAGAUGUUUGCGGUUACAAAGUGGAAGGCCUUUCUCUAAUCAAGGUAGGAAGUAAACACCCAAGUAACACAAAUUCCAACACUCAUUGUGUGAAUGGUAGAGGUGGCAAUCAACAAUCUUAGAAUCCAACUAAGGGAAAGGUUAAUAAGGGAAAAACACCCAUGAGUGUUGUUGGAAAAAGGGUUAACAACUCCAUUAUGCUUCAAGUGUGGAGGGCAUGGUCAUUAUUUCAUUAUUUGUCAAAGUAAAAGGUUACACUUCUGUAUUGAAGAAGUAGAAUCUGAAUCGAAAGUUGAUCCAAAGGAAGUUGAAAGCCACAAAAAAGAACAACUUGGAGAAGAAGGUGAUUAUUUAAAGGGCAUAUGCUCAUGUUAACUAGGCUCAUGUUAAAUAGUGGAUAUCUAUAGUAAGAUUCUCAACACUUGUUAAUGGAACUCCCUUUGAUUUUUUUCAAAGCUCUAAGGGUUUGAAACAAGGGGAUGCUUUCUUGUCGUAUUUAUUUGUGUUAGCUAUGGAAGUGGUGAGUUGCCUCUUGUAAAGGGCCAGGGAGGUUGGUUUUUGGUCAGGUUUAAAGGCAAGGAAGGGUGGUGAGGGUUUGGAGGUUUCCCACCUUUUGUUUAUAGAUGAUACUCUAGUUUUUUGCUAGGAUCCUUAAGAUCAAAUGGUUCAUUUGAGUUGACUUCUUAUGUGGUUUGAAGCAACCUUAGGGCUGAAAAUAAACCUGUACAAAAGUAAGUUAAUUCCAAAUGGAGGGGGGGUUACCGGAUGUGGUGAAGUUGGGUUGCAAGGUGGGAGAGCUUACGUUUACUUAUUUAGGUUUGCCUUUGGGUGCUCCAUUCAAAUCUAGUUCAAUUUGGGAUGGGGUAGAGGAGACUUUUCGUAGAAGGCCCUCAAUGUGGAUGAGGUAGUAUUUUCUAUGGGGGAAGACUCACGUUGAUUUGAAACACUUUAUCUAGUAUGCCUAUCUAGUACAUGUCCUUAUUUGCUACCUUAGAAAGGUAAGGUUGAGACUAGAGAAGAUUCAAAGAGACUUUUAUAGGGAGGAGGGGCUUUAGAGAAUAAGCCUCAUUUAGUUAAAUGGGCUACUAUUUGCAUGGAUAGGAGGACGAGGGGUUUGGGAAUUAGCAGCCUGUCAUCCCUUAAUUAGGCUCUUCUUGGUAAGUGGAGUUGGAGGUUCGCUUCUAAAGGGGAUAUUUCUUGGAAACAAGUUAUAGAGGGAAAGUAUGGAAAGGAAGAAGGCAGUUGAUGUUCUUGUGAUGUGAGAGGUGAGUGUGGGUUGGUGUUUGGAAAGUUACUAGGAAGGUAUAAGGCCUUCUUAUUAGUAAGGUGACUUUUGAAGUGCAUGAUGGUGUGAGGGUGAAAUUUUGGGAAGAUAGAUAGUGUGAGAAGGAGCCCUUGUGUGUGCCCUUUCUCCUUGUUUGCUUUUUCAUUGUCUAAAAACGCUUGGGUGGCAGAUGUCUGGGAUGCGUUGGUUUUGUUUUUUUUUUUGGUUUGGAUGGGGGUGGGGUGGGGUUACUAGAUUUGUGCUUCUUUAGACGCUUUAAUGAUUGAUAGUUUGAUAUUGUUGAGUCCUUUCCUCACGAUUGCAAGAUAAUUUGGUGAGGAGGGAUGUCACUGAUAGAAUAAUUUGGAAGGAGUUGAAGAAUGGUGUUUCAAUAGUCAUAUCCCUUGUCUGUCUUGGAGCCAUGGAAGUUGAUUCCUUUCCCCUCGGACAUUAUCUUGAAUUCUUGGGUGUUGCCAAAAGUGAGUUUUUUUUGCUUGGAAAACCAAUUGGCAAAUAGAUGUUUUCUUUGUAAAAUUGAGGUGGAAUUAAUGGCCUUUGCCUGGUUUGUGACACAUAAGAUGGUAAAUACCAUUGACAUGUUACAAUUGAGAAGGCCUUUCAAAGCCCUUAGCCUUGAUUGGUGCAUCAUAUGUAGGAGUAGAGAGAUGAUUGAUCUUCUUCUCUUACAUUGUUUGAUUACUUUGGGAUUGUGGUGUAGAAUAUAUAUUUUUUUUUGAUAGAUAAAAGCACAGAAAUAUAUUAAAAAGGGGGCAUGAAAGGCGACCCAGAGUAUANNNNNNNNNNNNNNNNNNNNNNNNNNNNNNNNNNNNNNNNNNNNNNNNNNNNNNNNNNNNNNNNNNNNNNNNNNNNNNNNNNNNNNNNNNNNNNNNNNNNNNNNNNNNNNNNNNNNNNNNNNNNNNNNNNNNNNNNNNNNNNNNNNNNNNNNNNNNNNNNNNNNNNNNNNNNNNNNNNNNNNNNNNNNNNNNNNNNNNNNNNNNNNNNNNNNNNNNNNNNNNNNNNNNNNNNNNNNNNNNNNNNNNNNNNNNNNNNNNNNNNNNNNNNNNNNNNNNNNNNNNNNNNNNNNNNNNNNNNNNNNNNNAGCCCUCAACAAGAACCCAACCAGUCCACAAAAUUUAACAAAGAAAGGGGGCCUUCAACUAUGGAAGAAUUAGCCCAAGAUAAGAGAUUACAAAUGAAGGAAUUUUUCAAUCUUUGAAGUGAUAGGACCUCAUUUUCAAAAACUAUCCUAUUUCUUUCCUUCCAUACCAUCCAAAAUAAGCAAAGAGGAGCUGCCCGCCAAACCUUACUAUGCUUCUUAUCCUUUAAGGGAAUAUGCCAACCUAAAAGAGUGUCUCUAACCGAAAAUGGGAGGACCCAAUUAACACCAAAUAAGGAGAACAAGAGAUCCCACAAAGCCUUCGCCUUAGAACAGUGAAUAAGGAUGUGAUUUAUCGUCUCUUCUUCAUCACAACACAAGGGGCACCUGUUAGCUAAAUUCCAGCCCCUCCUCUUUAGUUGGUCUUGAGUGAGCACCUUCCCCCAAGAAGCUUCCCAAGCAAAAAAGCCCACCUUGGUAGGAACAAACGUACUCCAAAUAAUUCUCCAUGGAAACGGGACUGCACUGCUGUGGUCAAGAGAAUUGAAACAGGUUUUUAAGAGAAAAUCCCAUCUUUCGUCUCAUUCCACACCAUCCUAUCCUCCAAAUCAACAUUCAGCCUCUUUCCUUGAAUGAUCAGAAGGAGUCUCUCCACCUCCUCCACCUCCCAAUCAUUGAAGGGUCUAAGGAAGCGGGGAUUCCACCCUCCCACUUCCCCCAUUGAGUCCCAACAGUCCACAACCCUCGCGUCUUUAGAAACCGCUAAAUCAAACAAGGAGGGGUAGGCCUCACAAAGAGGAGUGUUCCCGCACCAAGUAUCUUUCCAAAACCUCACCCUUUUACCAUCCCCCACCGAAAAAGAAACAUUGUUGAGCAACAACAACCCUUCCUUACUGAUUUCUUUCCAGAGCCCCACCCCAAAGCCCUCCCUACCCCCGCAAGUGCUCCACCCUCCUCUAACAACCCCAAACUUCGUGCCAAUUAUAAGCUUCCAAUAGGAAUCCCUUUCAACCGCAAACCGCCAACUCCAUUUGCACAGAAGGGCCCUAUUGAGAGUAGUGAGGUCUCUAAUCCCCAACCCACCCUUCUUUUUAUGAGAACAAACAAUACCCCAUUUUAUUAGGUGGGGCUUCUUCUCCAACGCUCCCCCUCCCCAAAGGAAAUCCCUUUGAAUUUUCUCAAGUCUUAAUUUAACCACUCUUGGCAUACGCAUUAAGGACAUGAGGUAGGUUGGCAUACUCGCCAAAGUGCUCCGAAUGAGAGUGAUUCUUCCACCCUUGGAAAUGAAUUGCCUCUUCCAUAAGGCAAGUCUCUUGCGCAUCCUCUCUUCCAUUCCGUCCCAAACCAUCACCGACUUAUGCGAAGCACCCAAAGGGAGCCCCAAAUAGGUAGAAGGGAGAGAUCCCACUUUACAGCCCAGUUCAACAGCUAGUAAUUCAGCGUUCUCCACUCUACCCACCGGCAAAAUUUCACUUUUGUUCAGAUUAAUGUGCAAUCCAGAGGUGGCUUUAAACCACAAGAGUAACCAACUUAAAAAAGCCAAUUGCUCUUGGGAAUCCUCGCAGAAGACCAGCGUAUCAUCAGCGAACAGCAGGUGUGAAACUUGAAUUCCUGCUCCUUCCCUUCCCCUUAUCCUGCAGCCUGAAAGAUAACCCCCUCUCACUGCCCUAUUAAUGAGGCUAGUCAAAGCCUCCAUUCCUAAAACAAAAAGGUAAGGGGAUAGGGGGUCCCCUUGCCUUAACCCCCUAGUGCUUCGGAAAAAACCGGUUGGAGAGCCGUUGAUCAGAACAGAAAACGACGCUGUGGAUAAACACCAUUUGAUCCACCCAGCCCAUUUCUCCCCAAAGCCCAUUUUUUGCAUCAUUGACAGCAAAAAAAUCCCAAUUGAUACGAUCGUAGGCCUUCUCUAAAUCCAAUUUACAUAGAACCCCACUUUCCUUCCUUUUCAGCAAGGAGUCUAUGACCUCAUUGGCUAUUAACGCUGCAUCAAGAAUCUGCCUAUCCUCAACAAAUGCAUUUUGGGUAGUAGACACCACUUUUCCCACAACCUUUUUCAAUCUAUUGGCUAAGACCUUUGCAAGCAGCUUGUAGAGGCUUCCCACCAAACUGAUGGGUCUAAAAUCGGUCAAGUCUUCAGCCCCGCCCUUUUUUGGGAUUAAGACAAGGAAUGUGGUGUUCAGACUUCGGACAAACUUUCCCAUCCCAAAGAAAUCUUUGAAAAAUCCCAUAAUCUCGUCUUUGACGAAGUCCCAGCAAAAGUGCCAGAAAGCUAGGGCAAACCCAUCCGGGCUAGGGGCUUUGUCCCCAUUCAACUCUGAAAGAGCCAGGAAAACCUCCUCCACAGUGAACAUUAGCUCCAGCCUAGCUGCCUCCUCUGCCCCAAUGCUAUCAAACUCAAGAUUGUUCACACUAGGGCGCCAGCCACCUGGAUCCGAUAAAAGAGACUGAAAGGCCCUCACUACUCCCCUUUGAAUAUCUUGCUCUUCUGACAGCCAGGUGCCAUUGACUUUAAUUUUUUUCAGGCAGUUCUUCCUUCUGUUGGAAUUUGCCAUCUUGUGAAAAAAUCCCGUGUUCUUGUCACCUUCCUUCAGCCAAAUCUGUCUUGAUUUUUGUCUCCAUGAAAUCUCCUCCAUAAGCACCCAUUUCUUGAAGUCCUCCUUAGCCUCCUUUCUCGCUUCUAACUCCCAGUCAUUUAAAACUCUUAGCCGUUCCUGAUUAUCCCAAUAAGACACCUUGUCCAAAGCCAGCCUCUUGUUCACUUCAACUUUGCCGAAAACUUCCGAGUUCCACUCCUUCAACUUAAUUUUUAAAGCCUUUAAUUUUUCUGUCAAGAUAAAACUAUAGGACCCACUAUAACUGAAACCUUGCCACCAGCCUUUUAACAGAUCCUUAAACCUGUCCUCCUUUAACCACAUAUUCUCAAAUCGAAACGGAGUUGGACCUCUCCUCACUCCUCCCCCAUCUAACAGAAUAGGAAAGUGAUCAGACACCGGUCUUGGAAGAGAACACUGGAAUACCCCACUGAAGUGAUUCUCCCACUUCUCCGAAAUUAGAAAACGAUCCAACCUAGACCUGGAGAUACCAUUCAGCCCUCCAGUCCACGUGAACGACCCCCCAUGGAGAGGCAAAUCUCUCAAGGCCAACUCCUCAAUCACCUCCGAAAAUCUUUCCAUGGAUCUAGUGAUUCUGCCUUCUCUACUACGCUCACUGGGAAAUAUGACCACAUUGAAAUCCCCACCAAUACACCAAGGGUCCGACCAUAACCCUCGAAUGGCACCUAAUUCUUCCCAAAACAGCUCCCUAUUACGUUUCAAGGUGGGUCCAUACACUCCCGUAAAGGUCCACAAGAAGCCAUCCUCGCAGUUUUUGAAACGACACGAAAUUGAGAAGAGUCCCGCCUCCAUGCCUUCUAACUCCAAGACUCUCUUGUCCCAAAACACUACGACCCCACCAGCAGCCCCCCUAGCACUCAUAGCACCCUAGCCUAAAAAUCUUCCCACUCCAAGACUGUGGACAAUCUCCCUGGACAUAUCUUGAAUUUUGGUCUCCUGCAGACACACCAAAUCCGCUCUUUGCGAUCUGAUCAAAGCCUUAAUAACCUUCCUUUUGGCCCUAUCAUUGGCCCCUCUAACGUUCCAUGAUAGUAUCUUUAUCUUCAUCUAAGAAUCGAAGUUCUAACCCCACCAACUCUGACCAAAGAUUUCUUCUUCUUCGCAUCAUUAUAAUUAACGGACCACUCCAAUUUUUUCAACUCACGGUCAAACUUAGUGGAUCCAGAAAUCUCUUGCUUGAUGUUCUGCUCCCUUCUUCUCUUAGUCCUUAGGAGCAGAUUCAAUAUUUCACCUUCAAUACCAUCCGUCGAAAAACCCAAGAACUUACUGAAUCUCGCCAAACAACUAUCGUCCCACCGACCUCCUUUUCCUUCCAAAUCUUGUAACAAAACCUCAACCUCAACCUCACCCCCCCCNNNNNNNNNNNNNNNNNNNNNNNNNNNNNNNNNNNNNNNNNNNNNNNNNNNNNNNNNNNNNNNNNNNNNNNNNNNNNNNNNNNNNNNNNNNNNNNNNNNGAUUUCUCCCCCUCGGUAUCCAUUUCCCCAGUGCUGCCAUUUGCCAGAAUAAUGCUCAAAGGAAUCUGCUCCUUUCCCUCAGUCACCGAGAUCAAACCAGACAAGGCUGCCUCCUUCGCUCCAGCCCGGGCAAACCCAGAAGAAAGAGAAGAAGAAGAGAGCACCCGACCCCCCACAGAAAACGAAGAAAUGUCGACAUACCUGGAGGCUUCGACACGCAACGCUUCGUCGGUCAUCUCCCCUCUUACCACCUCAGAGACUUCCAGCGGCUUCGGAGCUCUUGACAAGCCGACAAAAGGGUCAGCGUCACCAGAAGCGCCUCUCGCCAAACUGAUCGCUUGAGCCCUAGGACGAGAGGCUAAAGGAACUUUCCUUGGGUCAAGGGGGUCGGCGGCUCCAAUCGCUUCUACCUCCAGGCUUGUCGAAAUUGCCCUAGGACGAGAAGCCAAAGGUCCUUCCCCAGUUAAAGCCACUCCAGCCACUGCUACGAGGCCUUCGAGCCCAAAGCCCGCGCCCUUCUCCCCUUCUCUGCAUCCCAGCUCAUCAAGAGAGUUAAUGGGCCUGGAUUUGUGGCCCACACUCUUUAGAGAAACAUUAAGAGGGCCCUGGCUCUCCCCUCUUACAAAGGAAGGGCCCUGAACCACCCCAAAGUCAGAUCCGUUGGGCCCAGAAUUUGGCCCAAAAACAGAACCAUCCAACAAAUUACAAGCAGACUGCUUGUCCCCUGUCACACGUCCAUCAGCCGAACCUACCCUACCCUCCACUGCAGUGCCUGCAUCAGAGAACACAACAGGAGGGGAGGGAGAAACUCCUCCAGUGGACGACACGUCAAGCCUACCCUGCUGUACACUCCAUUGCUCCACCUUCUCCCUUUGACUUCCACCAUCUUCUUCUCCACCGUUGAGACUUCCCGCCGACACCACCUGCGUGAACCAAGGAUGAAGCUCCCACCAAAGUUGCAGGGAAUAACAUCCCGACCCCACAACGAUUUGGACAGAGCUGGGAAACUCCCUUUCCACGCACUUCACAAGGAUCCGGGCCCACUGCAUCUCAGACGAAGACAACGAGUUAUCGUCUAAAGCUACAAAACCUCCACACCCAUCCCCUAUUCUUUUAAAAAUCUCCGUGCUCCACAAAUGAAGGGGGAGCCCAACCACCCUUACCCAGACUUCUUUAGCGCUUGAAUCCUUGCAGAGACACCCCACCUCAGGGUUCCAUCUAUUCAAAACAAUAACAUUCUCCUUAAUGUUUCUUACACCUCUAGCUAAAACACGUUUAGCCUCCCUUGAAGAUUCGAACUCAAACAACAAGAAGCCUCUGCCUAACAUAGCAACCCUUAGAUUCCCCUUCAGAGCCCAAUGCUGCGACGCCCAUCUCCUAACAUACUCCAACUCAGGAACGGGAGCUGAGUUGAGACCCCACCAACCUACCAAAAACUGUCUCAACUGAUCAAUCCUUUCUCGCACCUCUCUUUCCCCCACCUCUAACCAGACAGACUGUCCUACCCUUCUCGGACUUAUCUUAACAACUUCUGCAUAGGAUUUCAGCUCCACCCCUUUCUCCCGCCACUGAACCUUCGAUCCUCCUUUCUCCCUCGUCAAGUCCUCUGGUCCUUUGGGAGCCAGAAAGACACCUGAUGGGGCCACGCCAAGAUCUCUCAACCUCACGGCCAAUAAAUUCCAACCAAGGGACUGUCCCUUCCCCUCUGGAAAGAUUAAACUGAACUUUUUUUAUUCAGAGUUGCGCACUGAGCAGAGGAUGAAUCCCCCUGCCUCAUUCAACCGUCGGUCCAACUUAUACUUCCUGUUCCCCUCCUCCCAGCCAAUGGCCCAUCCUCGAUUAUUAGACUCUCUGCAGCAAGUUUCUACUCCAUCCAGUAAGCACCGUAAGCUCGCCUCCCCGAAUCUAAUCCAAGAGGAGAUACCUUUGCAUCUCUCCCAUAUGCACCCUUUCAACUUUCCUCCCAACUCCUCAACCAGAAUCUCGAAAGAUUUGGACUCCACCACAAAACAGCUUCUUCCUCCCCUGGGGCCACCAGCUUCUCUCCAAGCUCUCAU